UACGUAGGGUGCAAGCGUUGUCCGGAAUUAUUGGGCGUAAAGGGCGCGUAGGCGGUCCAUCGCGUCGGGAGUGAAAAGCUGGGGCUCAACCCCAGUCCUGCUUCCGAUACGGGUGGACUAGAGGUAGGCAGGGGAGAACGGAAUUCCUGGUGUAGCGGUGAAAUGCGCAGAUAUCAGGAGGAACACCAGCGGCGAAGGCGGCGCUCUGGGCCGGUACUGACACUGAGGAGCGAAAGCGUGGGUAGCAAACAGG
RNAcentral lists this ribosomal RNA (253 nucleotides) under uncultured bacterium. Its description in RNAcentral is "partial 16S ribosomal RNA". It matches the Rfam family "Bacterial small subunit ribosomal RNA", at positions 524 to 776 of the family's 1533-position model. The record is from RNAcentral.